GAUGAACGCUGGCGGCGUGCCUAAUACAUGCAAGUCGAGCGAACAGACGAGGAGCUUGCUCCUCUGACGUUAGCGGCGGACGGGUGAGUAACACGUGGAUAACCUACCUAUAAGACUGGGAUAACUUCGGGAAACCGGAGCUAAUACCGGAUAAUAUAUUGAACCGCAUGGUUCAAUAGUGAAAGACGGCUUUGCUGUCACUUAUAGAUGGAUCCGCGCCGCAUUAGCUAGUUGGUAAGGUAACGGCUUACCAAGGCAACGAUGCGUAGCCGACCUGAGAGGGUGAUCGGCCACACUGGAACUGAGACACGGUCCAGACUCCUACGGGAGGCAGCAGUAGGGAAUCUUCCGCAAUGGGCGCAAGCCUGACGGAGCAACGCCGCGUGAGUGAUGAAGGUCUUCGGAUCGUAAAACUCUGUUAUUAGGGAAGAACAAAUGUGUAAGUAACUAUGCACGUCUUGACGGUACCUAAUCAGAAAGCCACGGCUAACUACGUG
This 497-nucleotide ribosomal RNA is filed under the name uncultured bacterium. Its description in RNAcentral is "partial 16S ribosomal RNA". It matches the Rfam family "Bacterial small subunit ribosomal RNA", at positions 28 to 507 of the family's 1533-position model. The record is from RNAcentral.